CCUACGGGAGGCUGCAGUGGGGAAUAUUGGACAAUGGGGGCAACCCUGAUCCAGCCAUGCCGCGUGUGUGAAGAAGGCCCUCGGGUUGUAAAGCACUUUCAGUGAGGAAGAACGCCUGGUGGUUAAUACCCAUCAGGAAAGACAUCACUCACAGAAGAAGCACCGGCUAACUCCGUGCCAGCAGCCGCGGUAAUACGGAGGGUGCGAGCGUUAAUCGGAAUUACUGGGCGUAAAGCGCGCGUAGGUGGCUUGAUAAGCCGGUUGUGAAAGCCCCGGGCUCAACCUGGGAACGGCAUCCGGAACUGUCAAGCUAGAGUGCAGGAGGGGAAGGUAGAAUUCCCGGUGUAGCGGUGAAAUGCGUAGAGAUCGGGAGGAAUACCAGUGGCGAAGGCGGCCUUCUGGACUGACACUGACACUGAGGUGCGAAAGCGUGGGUAGCAAACAGGAUUAGAUACCCCAGUAGUC
Molecule: ribosomal RNA, 465 nt
Filed under: Vreelandella stevensii
Lineage: Bacteria; Pseudomonadati; Pseudomonadota; Gammaproteobacteria; Oceanospirillales; Halomonadaceae
Description: partial 16S ribosomal RNA
Rfam family: Bacterial small subunit ribosomal RNA
Source: RNAcentral